Molecule: long non-coding RNA, 3942 nt
Filed under: Lactuca sativa (garden lettuce)
Lineage: Eukaryota; Viridiplantae; Streptophyta; Magnoliopsida; Asterales; Asteraceae
Description: long non-coding RNA (LSAT_LNC004225)
Source: RNAcentral
CUUUUGGAUGAAAAUGAUAGACUUAAACUGAGAACCGAAACCAUACAAAAAUUUGACUCUUUAAACGCCAACUUGAGCUCAGAAAACAAAAUUGAUGUUGAAAAUGCAUCUGAGCUUAAUGAGGAUGACAACAUGAGUGAAAUUUCUGUAGAGGACACGGUUGACUGCUCAGAAUUUGUAAAAAGCGAACCUGAAAACCACAAGAAUCUAAUUUCUGAAAAUUCAGUGGAGUUCGCUCGAUUGUCCCAACAAAAGUCCCCGAUCUUAGCAGAGAAAGCGGUUGUAUAUCAAAAGGUCAGGACCACUCCAAAUCAAGUGUACAAGGUCACUGGAGUAACCGAACAUCAGACCGCUGAACUCACAGCUAUUGUAAACGAAGACAAUGCUGAUGGCUGCGAUGAGUACUUCUGGUCAGCUCCAAUAGAUAAUGCAAACGAAACGGUAGGCUUAUCAGAAAGAACCUCAUGGAUGAGUAAAGGUAGAUACAUACCAGAACCCUUGAAUAAGCCAGAUAAUUUCGAUGAGCCAAGUACUAGUGGUACGAAAGACAUUCCUCAAGAGAAUGGAAGUUCGGCAAAAGAAGACAUUCCCUCUAGUUCCUCAGUUCAAAGUGAAACUCCUACAGUUCAAAGUGAACCAGCCAAGGAGAAACCGAAAAUGAAAGCCAAUAUUCAUCAUCAACCGAAGCAGAUGAGGAAUAAGAAACGUGAAAGGAACCAGAGAUACAGGAAGAAUCUCUCUGAAAGGAAACAAUUCUGGCAAUCCCAGAAUGCAUAUUUCUCACAUCAAGACAAGAAUCUGAAGUUUGAGAACAAUCCUGUCAAAAAGCAUGAGAGCCACAACAACCGAAAGCCAAGGUUCGGUUCAGAAGAGAAUACCAACCGAAAGCAAAGGCUCGGUUCUGAGAAUGACUCCAACCGAAAGCAUAGGUUCGGUUCAGAGAACUGCUCCAACCGAAAGCAAAGGUUCGUUUCAGAAGUCAAAAGAGAUCAAAACUCCAAGGUCAGUCCCACCAAUGAUCAAAAGCAAAAGGGUCACCUAGAGUCUCCAGCCAAGAAGUCAUCUCAAUCUAAGCCCACUCCUUCUCAUUCAUCUAAUUCUUCUAAUUCUUCCAAUUCAUCUCCAUCUUGCUCUAAAGCUCAUUCUGUUCGUUCUCAAAAAUCUCAUUCGUCAGCUGAACAAAAAGGCAAACAGAAGGUUAAUGCAUCCAAACCAGAGUCUAAACCGAACGCACCUAAUCCUAAUAAAAUAAAAGUCUUUACCAUCAAAAAGAAAGAUGAAACAACACUUAUAAAACGAACAUAUCUUGUUGACAUCUCUCUUACUAUUCCUGUUCCUAUGAAAAGCUCACGUGGACCCAAGAAACUUUGGGUUCCUAAAUCUGCUUAAUUUUUGCAGGUUAUAAGUGACGAGCAGUUCGACGAAGAAUGGUACAUCGAUAGUGGCUGCUCGCGUCACAUGACAGGAAGGAAAGAAGAGCUCAGGGAAUACAGGUCUCUUUCAAAUGGUGGCAACGUCAAGUUCGGAAACAACUCUUUCGGCACCAUAAAGGGAUACGGAAUGAUAACUAAUGGUGAUUUUACUAUAAGGAAGGUGGCUUAUGUGGAAGGACUACAACACAACCUCAUCAGUGUAUCUCAGCUUGUUGGAGGUACAGGUCUCAAAGUCUCAUUCGACGAUGAAGGUUCUGAAAUUAUUGAGAAGAAGACGAAGAAAGUAAUUCUCAAAUCGGAACGUAAGGGUGAAAUGUUUCCUCUAAACCUCAAACCCAUCAAAGGAAACCUAGCUAUAUGCUUGUUAUCAAAAGCACAAUUUGACGAAAGCAGGUUGUGGCACCGAAGACUAUCUCAUCUCAACUUUAAGGAUAUCAACAAACUUGUCACUGGAGGUCAUGUUCGAGGUCUUCCAUUGCUCAAGUUCGACAGAGAUCAUUUGUGUGCUGCAUGCGAAAUGGGGAAGCAGAGUCGUCAAAGUCAUCCAUCUAUAAUUAACACUAAAGUUGUUGAACCACUCGAAUUACUUCAUAUUGAUUUGUGUGGUCCAUCAUCUAUCGAAAGCAUCGGUGGUAGCAAGUAUAUUCUUGUUAUUGUUGAUGACUUUUCGCGAUUUACAUGGGUGUUCUUUCUAAAGCUCAAAUCUGAAGCGACUCAUAAGCUGAAAGUGUUCAUCAAGCAGAUUGAAGUACAGCUCAAGAAGGUCGUUCGCAACAUCAGGAGCGACAAUGGUCUGGAAUUCAAGAACAGGGAAUUUGAAGAAUUUCUAGCAGAAAAGGGAAUAAGUCACAACUUCUCAGCUCCCUACACACCUCAACAGAACGGAAUUGUCGAAAGACGAAACCGAUCUUUGUGUGAAGCUGCCCGAACUAUGCUAAGUUUCGCUUCCUUACCUCUUUAUUUUUGGGCUGAUGCUAUUUCUGCUGCUUGUUUUACACAGAACAGGUCAUAUCUCAACAAGCGAUUCACGCUCACACCUUAUGAGAUUCUCAACAACAGGAAGCCCAAUGUGAAAUUUUUCCACGUGUUCGGCUCACGGUGUUUCAUCUUUAACUCUAAAGAACACCGCAACAAGUUCGAUGUCAAAGCCGACGAGGGAAUCUUUCUGGGCUACUCUCUCACUUCCAAAGCAUACAGAGUCCUAAACAAGCGUUCGAGGAAAAUCGAAGAGACCUAUUACGUGACUUUUGAUGAUAGCUAUGUCAAAAAGCUACAGGCCAAAGAAGACACAGCUGGGGAAAUCUUUCCUCAAACUGGCCAAGUCACAGUCUCGAUCGCUAAUCUAUACGAAAAGUUUAUGGAGCUCUUUGACGAACCAGAGAAAGCUACUCUCUCAGAAGCAGGCGCAGCAGACAACAAGGUAGACCAUAUGAAACAAAUUGUCGAAGAAGCUGCCAGGAGAAUGAACAAAGGAGUAUCGAAUUCUGAUGAACCUCCAUCCAACGAUACUUCAGUUGAGGGGGAGCCAAGCUCACAUGUUGAGGGGGAGCCAAGCUCUCCAACUGCUCCAGAAAGUCCAACUCCAACCGAAAGUACUUCUCCAACCGAAAGUGCUUCACCAACCGAAGGUGCAUCAACGCCUGAAAGCCCAGCACCACAAGAAACCUCUGAACCUCAAGUUUCUCAAAGCAUUCCAGAAAGCUCAUCUAUCGAGGGGGAGCAUGGUGAUAUGUCACUCGACUAUGAAAGCCUAUCCGAGCCAGAAGAAAUGAUCAAUGCUGNNNNNNNNNNNNNNNNNNNNNNNNNNNNNNNNNNNNNNNNNNNNNNNNNNNNNNNNNNNNNNNNNNNNNNNNNNNNNNNNNNNNNNNNNNNNNNNNNNNNAAGACGAAAACAUUUAUUUACAAAGAGACAAUUUAAAGUUGUUAAGACAGCGUAACGUUUUUUGUUUGAUUGCAAAACGUCUUUACACUAAUAUUACUCAGCUUCACUUGGAUUGUGAAAUAGGACAAAAGAUCCAUCGUAUGAUUUUUCCCUUCCUUGAGUUUAAGGAGGAUGAAAUCGAUGCUGAAGCUUAUAAUUGUGAGAAUGUGAUAUCAUCUGAUGACGUCAAUCCGACCUAUAUGUAUGGACUAGACAAAAUUGAAUCUUUCAUUAAAUCCAAGGACCACAAGGACAUGCUCAAAAACCUUUUGGAUGAAAAUGAUAGACUUAAACUGAGAACCGAAACCAUACAAAAAUUUGACUCUUUNUGAGCUUAAAAAACAAAAUUGAUGUUGAAAAUGCAUUGAGCUUAAUGAGGAUGACAAUAUGAGUGAAAUUUUUGUAGAGGACACGGUUGACUGCUCAGAAUUUGUGAAAAACGAGCCUGAAAACCACAAGAAUCUAAUUUCUGAAAAUUCAGUGGAGUUCGCUCGAUUGUCCCAACAAAAGUCCCCGAUCUUAGCAGAGAAAGCGGUUGUAUAUCAAAAGGUCAGGACCACUCCAAAUCAAGUGUACAAGGUCACUGGAG